AAAAUAAACCAAGAACCUUUUGUUCUUGUAUUCUCUUUUUAAACAUGGCCUGGUGCAUGUAGGCAAUUGGGAAUUGCACUAUACAUUGGAAACCUUCAUGAUACAUAAAGCGAGUUAACUACAACUACAAUAGGUGUUCAUCUGUUAGGACCAAGUGUCAGCUUUACAGGAAAGACACAGAUGGGGUGAAUUAAAAAAUGUUUCCCCAACUUCAGCAUAAUUCAAAUGGACACACUCCAUCCCUGACAAGCAUUGUUUUAAUUGUCUUGCAACAAUUCCCCUGAUGUUGGGAGUGAAUGAGUGCUUUAUUUUCCCUGUAUUGAUUCUGCAUAAGCUUAUUAUUUGCCCAGUCAUUUCUCUUCUUCCAUAUAUUUGAUUUUUUCCCUAUUUAAUAAAACUGUUAAAGCCUCUUGUAA
Molecule: long non-coding RNA, 416 nt
Organism: Triplophysa rosa
Lineage: Eukaryota; Metazoa; Chordata; Actinopteri; Cypriniformes; Nemacheilidae
Exons: 2
Source: RefSeq, a predicted model, not a curated record